Molecule: unclassified non-coding RNA, 238 nt
Filed under: Glomus sp.
Lineage: Eukaryota; Fungi; Glomeromycota; Glomeromycetes; Glomerales; Glomeraceae
Description: partial contains 5.8S ribosomal RNA and internal transcribed spacer 2
Rfam family: 5.8S ribosomal RNA (bases 1-65)
Source: RNAcentral
GUGAAUCAUCGAAUUUUUGAACGCAAAUUGCACUCUCUUCGGAGAGUAUGCCUGUUUGAGGGUCAGCCUAAAAAAAAAAUCGACAUAGUCGCUGUUUUGCGGUGACAUUUGUCGGAAAUUGGGUUAUCUUUAACCUUUUGGUUUUAAGUGGCUUAAAAUUUUUUUUACGAUUCCACGAACGUUUCUAAGAUUUAAUUUUUACACGUUUAAGGUAAACGAUCUUUAUUAGAAGUGGCCG